Olea europaea var. sylvestris is the source of this 595-nucleotide long non-coding RNA. RefSeq lists it as uncharacterized. The transcript is spliced from 2 exons. NCBI's taxonomy places the organism in Eukaryota, Viridiplantae, Streptophyta, Magnoliopsida, Lamiales, Oleaceae. The record is from RefSeq and is a predicted model, not a curated record.
UACACUUAUUUUUGUCAUGAACCCCAUUUCCUUAGUUUUUGGUUUCAUUCUUUAAGUUCAGCAAAAACCCCCUAUUAUAUUCAUAUUCUACCAAAAUUAUAAUUCUCUUUGCCUCUUUAAUCACAUCUAUUGCAUGCACAUACACGGCAACAAUUGCGUUGACAGAAAAUAAACAUUUGGAGCGUGAUUCUUGGAUCUUGUUUUCAAAAUUCGUAAAUUAACGAGGUAGGAUACCAUGUGCAAGUGAUUCAUCCUUGCAAUAUUAUAAUUUUUUUUAUGUGAUUUAUUUCAUGAAAUAAUAAUUGACCUGCGGGUCCCUAUGAAAUGAAAUGUGAGAUCGCCUUCAGGUCUUCUCAAAUGUACUAGAGCUUUCGAUUGAUCACCGAUUGCUUUUGAUGAAAUGAUGAUCAGAUUGGUCAACGUGGAUGGUGGCUGAGUGGUACGCAGGUUGCCAAGUAAAAGAAAUUUUUAGGAAUCCAUAAUAAAUUUGUUAGGGCAUUUAUGUUUCUCUUCAAUUCCAUUCAUGACGCUAUGUUUAUUUGAUUCAAUAUUUGAGUUUCAAUAAAUUAAGGUAUUAAAUUUUAAAUUUUAUUUC